CCUACGGGUGGCAGCAGUGGGGAAUAUUGGACAAUGGGCGAAAGCCUGAUCCAGCCAUGCCGCGUGUGUGAAGAAGGCCUUCGGGUUGUAAAGCACUUUCAGUGGGGAAGAAAGCCUUGGGGCUAAUACCCUCGAGGAAGGACAUCACCCACAGAAGAAGCACCGGCUAACUCCGUGCCAGCAGCCGCGGUAAUACGGAGGGUACGAGCGUUAAUCGGAAUUACUGGGCGUAAAGCGCGCGUAGGCGGUCUGAUAAGCCGGUUGUGAAAGCCCCGGGCUCAACCUGGGAACGGCAUCCGGAACUGUCAGGCUAGAGUGCAGGAGAGGAAGGUAGAAUUCCCGGUGUAGCGGUGAAAUGCGUAGAGAUCGGGAGGAAUACCAGUGGCGAAGGCGGCCUUCUGGACUGACACUGACGCUGAGGUGCGAAAGCGUGGGUAGCAAACAGGAUUAGAUACCCUAGUAGUC
RNAcentral lists this ribosomal RNA (465 nucleotides) under Vreelandella stevensii. RNAcentral describes it as "partial 16S ribosomal RNA". It matches the Rfam family "Bacterial small subunit ribosomal RNA", at positions 338 to 795 of the family's 1533-position model. The record is from RNAcentral. Lineage: Bacteria; Pseudomonadati; Pseudomonadota; Gammaproteobacteria; Oceanospirillales; Halomonadaceae.